This 783-nucleotide ribosomal RNA is filed under the name uncultured Shewanella sp. Its description in RNAcentral is "bacterial SSU rRNA". It matches the Rfam family "Bacterial small subunit ribosomal RNA", at positions 28 to 776 of the family's 1533-position model. The record is from RNAcentral. Lineage: Bacteria; Pseudomonadati; Pseudomonadota; Gammaproteobacteria; Alteromonadales; Shewanellaceae.
GACGAACGCUGGCGGCGUGCCUAAUACAUGCAAGUCGAGCGAGCUUGCCUAGAUGAAUUUGGUGCUUGCACCAAAUGAAACUAGAUACAAGCGAGCGGCGGACGGGUGAGUAACACGUGGGUAACCUGCCCAAGAGACUGGGAUAACACCUGGAAACAGAUGCUAAUACCGGAUAACAACACUAGACGCAUGUCUAGAGUUUAAAAGAUGGUUCUGCUAUCACUCUUGGAUGGACCUGCGGUGCAUUAGCUAGUUGGUAAGGUAACGGCUUACCAAGGCAAUGAUGCAUAGCCGAGUUGAGAGACUGAUCGGCCACAUUGGGACUGAGACACGGUCCAAACUCCUACGGGAGGCAGCAGUGAGGAAUAUUGGUCAAUGGGCGGAAGCCUGAACCAGCCAAGUAGCGUGCAGGAAGACGGCCCUAUGGGUUGUAAACUGCUUUUAUGCGGGGAUAAAGUGAGGGACGUGUCCUUCAUUGCAGGUACCGCAUGAAUAAGGACCGGCUAAUUCCGUGCCAGCAGCCGCGGUAAUACGGAAGGUCCGGGCGUUAUCCGGAUUUAUUGGGUUUAAAGGGAGCGUAGGCCGUGGAUUAAGCGUGUUGUGAAAUGCAGGUGCUCAACGUCUGCACUGCAGCGCGAACUGGUCCACUUGAGUGUGCGCAACGCAGGCGGAAUUCGUCGUGUAGCGGUGAAAUGCUUAGAUAUGACGAAGAACUCCGAUUGCGAAGGCAGCUUGCGGGAGCACAACUGACGCUGAAGCUCGAAAGUGCGGGUAUCGAACAGG